AUUUUUCGGGGGUCCCCCCACUUAGGGCAACCGACAGCGUCAGGUACGGCAAGUUGCGCCUGAAUCGCACGUCCUCCGCCCCGAUUUCCCCUCGCCCAACGUGUGCUUUUUCUUUGAUCAUCCAGCGAUGAUCGAGGUUUAAUGGCAGGAAAGAGAUAAAAAGGUGGGGUUGUUCCUGCGCAGUGCUGCAAGCUGCAGUGGUAAUCUGAUCAGAUCAGGCCCCCAAUAUUCUCUUCUAGGGAUUGGCAAUCCCACCCACUAUAAAUACCACCCCAAAGAUCAUCCCCUCUCCUCCCACCAUGAACAGGCCCUCUCUCUCUCUCUCUCAUCUCUCCUUCUCUGCCUCUCCUUUUGCCUAUCCACUUCUCUCUUUCCAGACCAGACACCUUUUGUUGCUCUCUUUAGAUUGAUGGGUUCGGCUCAAAAUCUUUUUUUUUCCUUUUUUCUUUCUUUCAUUCUUUCUUUCUCUCUCUAGUGGAGCUUUCAUGGGUUUUUCGUGGAAUGACCCUGUUUGUGUUCUUCCACAGCUUUCUUGAACUGCAUGGUUAUAAUUGGAGAGAUGCGAGGAAAAAUGAGAGGAGACCCAUCUUCUCCUUUUUCUUUGUCCUUGUCCUCUUCUUUUUGUGCGGUUCAAGAAAGCUGUGGGAAGAUACAGAUGGGGUCAAGAAGGAGGAAAAAAAGGAAAAGGUCUUUCUUUUGAGGGAUCUGUGUGACUUCUUGAGAAUUUCGUUGCCGUUACACAGGUUUUGUUUUGCAUCUACAACUCCUUGGAUUCCCUGUAGAAGUCUCUUUUUCCUGCGUAUGUAAUCGCUUUUUUUGUGUUGGUCAGAUGAUUUUCGUAUCUGAUUCACAUGAAGAUGUGAUUUUUACUGAGUGGUGGUGAAAUUUAGGUGUUUCGCGAGUGUAAUGGACGUUCGUUCUGUGGAUCCGUCAUUUUUCGAGGCACUGUGGGAAAGACAAAGUAGUUAAAUGACUAAUCAGUCCAUGGGCAUCAGUCAAAAUAUGUAAGUAAUUCAUGCUUCUGAUCUGUUUGCCUGUUUACUGCAUUGGCCUGUCAGCACUUUGGUUGCCAGAUUAUUCCAUCAUGAUCAGUCUUUUCUGUGAUUGAUAUUAAUCACUCUGUAGAAUGCGGUGCUUAGUAUUGAAUUAUGACGUGCUGUUAUUAUUGGAUAUUUCACAUUUUUGAACUACUAUCGUGUGUGUGUUUCUGUUUGCAUUUGCAUUGGGUUUACUGAGCUAUUUUUCCCUCUUUUAAUCUUUGUUUAUGAUGUUUUUUUUUUUUUUUAUUUCAUUGCAUAAUUCCGGAGUCCUAAUUAUAAUGCAUGUUUUACUUGUUUCAAAUCUAUUUUUUAGGAGCUCCAUCCACACCAAGUUUAAGCUUUGAAUUAAGCCUCUAUACCUUGUCAGUUGCUUUCAAGCUUUAACUAAAAAUAUGGGAGAAACCUUUGAUAUUUAUUAUGUACAAAAAUUGUAAGUUAGGGUUUCAAUUUCAUAAUCGAAAGAGCUUUAGGGAAAUUUUUUUUGAAAAAUCAAUAGGCAAAGAAAGUGUCCCUUGAUCAGUUCAAAAGGUCACAUCCUGUGUUUUUCCUCUUAAACCCAGUUUGCUCCUUGAUCACACCGUCCUUGAUUAUCUUCAAAACUGCUCUCUUAAUCGAAACACUGCUCCAGAGAACAACAUACAAACAACACAUUGCCAUUUGCAUGUGAUUGCAAAAAUGGGAUCCUAAUGUUGCAUUUGAUUCUUAGAUUGCAUAAAGUAAGAGUUUCUGAACCACUACUUAAAACCUUAGAACUUGAAAGGUCAUAUAGAUACUGUGAAAGGUUGAGCUACAUUAUUUUUUAGGUCGGACAGCUACAUAACUUGAGGAGCUGCAAUUUGGCAAAACACUAUGUCAUGGACCAAAACGAGCUGUUACAAGCUGUGAUGUAAUGGACCUUCAGUUCUAGAUCUGUUUUUUCAAAUGGCCACACCUCGUCAGCCUUCACGAAUUUCCGCCGAGUCAAUGGAUAUACUUUAUGUGUUCCCUAUAUUUUAGCCUAUUGAGGCUGAAUCCAGACAGUGAACUGUACCAUUUUUUUCUCGAGUUCUUGUUUUUUUUACUUGUUUUGGACAAGUGGAUGUGGUUUGGAAAUUAUAGCAUAAGAAAUAUGGACAGCUCCAUCUGGUGAGAUCCACCUUAAAUACAGGUGGGGUUCUUGGUGCAUACCAUUCAUGUAAAUUUUUUCCUCUCGUUUUUGGUGUGCUUGUAAUUGGGAAGCUGUUUCAAGACCAAUCACUCCUGUUUGUCAUAUAACUUCACGUAUCCACUUUAUCUGCCAAAAUUCGUUUACUUUUUGAGUUUGUGCAAAGCUUUUCAAUCUUUCUAAUGAUGAGGAUGAAUACUGUAACUGCAUUUCACAGGUAAUUCCAUUAUGGUUGUUGUGAUGGGUAGUUAUGUGAAGAAGAAAGUGGCCAAGUUAUUUUGCAUUUUAAUGAAUUUCCUUGCCAUUUCAAAUGGUUGAGCCAUGCAUCAUGGUCUUGCUAAUGUGGAGCAAGAUGAUAUCCACAUUUUACCUUCUUAGUUUUCGUCAUGAAGCAGGCCGGUUUCAAUUCCCCUUGUUUUCCCCUUGAACUCGUUAGUUUCCGUCUCAUUAAUCAUGUUUGAUUGAGCACCCUGCCUCAAAUCAUAUCUUGGAAAAUGUAGGUCAAGAAUUCUUCAGAUGGGAGUUUAAUUGUUUAACUAAUCUUGGGCCGCAAUCUGUUUUGAAAUGCCGCAGUUCUUUAUACGUAUAUUUCAAGCAUUUCAGAGGCUUUUGUUUUAUUGAAAUGUCAACGACUUUGAUAGUUUUACUAUUUUUUGGUUACCGUGCCAAGAGGGUGACUAUUAUGACAAGUGACUUAAUUUUAAUAUAAUCUGCAUCGAAUAAACAAGUAUAAAUAGAUGUAUCUACAAAAGAAUAUAAUUGACAUAGAUUUAUUCUAUGGUUUUUUGUUUUUUUGGUAAAAGGUAAGAGGUAUAUAGAGUAAGCACAAAAGGCUAUACGAUUGUACAGCAAGGGGGGCCUCGGCACUAGUUUACACUUAGAAAGACAGGAAAUCCAAACGAGUGGAAGGGGGCUGGGGGGGGAGAAAAGGGGAGGGGAGAGCUGUGAGAGAGAUACAAAGCUAAUAAAAAAAGCAGCAAAAGAAGACCAAAACAACGGCCAACAAAAGAGACGGGGGCGAAGAGCACACAACACUGUGGCCCGCACAAGGAAAAGAUGAAAAGAGGACAAGAGCAAGAGGGACACCAAGAUGGGAACACAAGCCGCAACUUUAGGAAAGACGCGGGAGAAAACCCAAAAUGGUGAAUGAGAAACAUAUUGGAUUUGUGUUGUCUUGAUGAGGUCCAGUGUAGAUGCCAAAUAGCUAUUGAAAAGCAUUAGCCA
This is a long non-coding RNA of Eucalyptus grandis, 3408 nucleotides long. RefSeq lists it as uncharacterized. The record is from RefSeq and is a predicted model, not a curated record. NCBI's taxonomy places the organism in Eukaryota, Viridiplantae, Streptophyta, Magnoliopsida, Myrtales, Myrtaceae. The transcript is spliced from 2 exons.